RNAcentral lists this unclassified non-coding RNA (253 nucleotides) under uncultured Hymenobacteraceae bacterium. Its description in RNAcentral is "contains 16S-23S intergenic spacer region". It matches the Rfam family "Bacterial small subunit ribosomal RNA", at positions 524 to 776 of the family's 1533-position model. Lineage: Bacteria; Pseudomonadati; Bacteroidota; Cytophagia; Cytophagales; Hymenobacteraceae. The record is from RNAcentral.
UACGUAGGGUGCGAGCGUUGUCCGGAUUUAUUGGGUUUAAAGGGUGCGUAGGCGGCCUUUUAAGUCAGCGGUGAAAGCCCGGGGCUCAACCCCGGAACCGCCGUUGAUACUGGAAGGCUUGAGUACAGACGAGGUAGGCGGAAUUGAGGGUGUAGCGGUGAAAUGCUUAGAUACCCUCAAGAACACCGAUUGCGUAGGCAGCUUACUAGGCUGUAACUGACGCUGAGGCACGAAAGUGUGGGGAGCAAACAGG